Molecule: long non-coding RNA, 639 nt
Filed under: Scophthalmus maximus (turbot)
Lineage: Eukaryota; Metazoa; Chordata; Actinopteri; Pleuronectiformes; Scophthalmidae
Description: lncRNA (ENSSMAG00000022822.1)
Source: RNAcentral
UUUUUUUGUCUGCACCCAAGGCAUUUUUUGCUUUUGCCUUCUACUGCAAACAUUUUCUUGGAAAUGUCGAUUCUUUUUUGCUUUUUCAGAAAGGUUGUCCCAGGUGAACUACCAUAAGGGGUAACAUGUCUUCACCCCUCAUGACUGCUGCUAUCCUCCACCAGCGCUCUCAUAGCAUCAUGGUCACAGUCAGCAGACGUUUGCAGCAAAACAGCCCUAAUGGAUCCACUGUUCACCACCUGCUCAUGUGUCGUAUGUCUGCAGUCUGAAUCGCCCCUGGCGGCUCUCGGAGACGGAGUGAGGGGCCGGGAGAUGAGGACGGUACAUUGGCCACAGCUGAGCUCCGCCGCUGAUGAGCAAACAAGUAAUCAAACAGACGUGAAGAAGAGGAGGCGCUCCGGAUUUUUUGAUAGGAAGCAACUAACAAAGGGUGCAGGGAGGGUGAUCUGUGGCGUUCUCACAGCGUGGCACUGGUCGGUCGAUACGGCGGCUGACAGGCGGGAUGUCUUGCUAGACAGCUGUCAGGUUCCAUGUGAGUGUGUAAGUUUGUGCUCUUACAGUUCUCGCGGUGGCGGCAAAUAUAGAGCAGAGAAGCUCUUGUAUAGACUCUUCACGUUUGAGUCGGCUGAUGGAGUGUGA